AGGACAUCAGGUGGGUGUUGGGCAGAACCCCUAGGUCCUGGAGAACAGGUAACGGAGGACAUCGGUGGAUCUGGGUGUUGGGUUGAACCCCCUAGGUCCUGGAGAACAUCAGUUGGGUUUGGGUGUUGGGCAGAACCCCCUAGGUCCUGGAGAACAUCAGUUGGGUCUGGGUGUUGGGUUGAACCCCCUAGGUCCUGGAGAACAUCAGUUGGGUCUGGGUGUUGGGCAGAACCCCCUAGGUCCUGGAGAACAUCAGGUGGGUGUUGGGCAGAACCCCCUAGGUCCUGGAGAACAUCAGUUGGGUCUGGGUGUUGGGUUGAACCCCCUAGGUCCUGGAGAACAUCAGUUGGGUCUGGGUGUUGGGCAGAACCCCUAGGUCCUGGAGAUCAAGAGCAGAGUUAGAGGUUAGGAGACAGACGUCAACAAGCAAACACACAGUUUACACUUUACUGGGAGAACAUUUUGAUGGAUUAGUGCAGUGUUAUAAAUGGGAGAUAUUUACUUUUCAACACUUGGAUGGUACAGCCUACCUCAAGCUGGUCCCCCUCUGACUCCGAGCACAGAUAAUCAGACUGAUCUGAACUCACUGGUUCUGGUGGAUGGGAUACUUCCUAGGGAGCUCAGACAGUUAAUGGUCCUCAAGUCAUUUGGAGGUAAAUUGAGG
This is a long non-coding RNA of Oncorhynchus tshawytscha (Chinook salmon), 664 nucleotides long. Lineage: Eukaryota; Metazoa; Chordata; Actinopteri; Salmoniformes; Salmonidae. The record is from Ensembl.